Small nucleolar RNA from Loxodonta africana (African savanna elephant), 132 nucleotides. Lineage: Eukaryota; Metazoa; Chordata; Mammalia; Proboscidea; Elephantidae. The record is from Ensembl.
GUUGAGGUCUAUCCCGAUGGGGCUUUUCCUAUAGACCCACAUCGUUGGAAACGCCUCAUAGAGUAACUAUGUGGUUUUGCUUUACUCACAGAACUAUUUGUUGGAUCUGUGGGAAGGAACUACAAGACAGAA